Sapajus apella (tufted capuchin) is the source of this 700-nucleotide long non-coding RNA. RefSeq lists it as uncharacterized. The record is from RefSeq and is a predicted model, not a curated record. NCBI's taxonomy places the organism in Eukaryota, Metazoa, Chordata, Mammalia, Primates, Cebidae. The transcript is spliced from 2 exons.
CCUGUAACUCAGCCCCCACCUCACCUCCCUGCAUCCUCCCAGCAUCUCCGCUGGAGGCCCAGAGGUUGGCAGAGGGAAGGGCCACAGCUGUCCUGGCUCCACGGGCAAUGGCGGGACAGUCCUUCACCUCUCUGGGCCUUGUUUUCUCAAACUGAAAUGGGAAAGGAUGACUCCGGCCUAGGACCUUCAAGGGCCUCAAAAGGCCCUGGGCCUUGCGUGCUCCAGGUAAGGUCAAAUCCUCUACAUCUCUGAAGUGAGCUGACAUGGUAGAGUUGCUGUCUGGCUAGCUGCAGUCCCAACAUCAUUGCCAUGACCUUCACUUCAAAAGCGCCAGCAUCAAAUCCUUCAGAAGAGUGUCAGCAGCUUGGAAGAAAACCCUAGAGGCAAAAUCAGAUCCCUUUUUAGCCCUGGGACCCAAAUGGUGGGAAACCCCAGGGGAAGGCAACCAGGCUUGUCAGUGAUACUCCCAAAGCGGAGUGAAAAGUCAGCUCCACUUCCUUUGCACAAUUGCAAAGCUGGCUUCAGAGCUCCUGCUGGUAUACGACUGUUUUAUAGAAUGUUUUGAGCAGUGCCGCUUUCCCUAGAACUCUCAAGGGCUCAGAGGAGGAGGUGGCAGGGAGACGCAGACAUCAGGACUCUCAGACCAAAUGAUUCACACGAGUCGAACUCUAAAUAUGAAGGAGUUUUCUGAACAUGGUAA